Molecule: ribosomal RNA, 253 nt
Filed under: uncultured bacterium
Lineage: Bacteria
Description: partial 16S ribosomal RNA
Rfam family: Bacterial small subunit ribosomal RNA
Source: RNAcentral
UACGAAGGGGGCGAGCGUUGUUCGGAAUUACUGGGCGUAAAGGGCGCGUAGGCGGUGUGUCAAGUCAGGCGUGAAAGCCCCGGGCCCAACCUGGGAACGGCGCUUGAGACUGGCACGCUCGAGUUCGGGAGAGGAUGGUGGAAUUCCCAGUGUAGAGGUGAAAUUCGUAGAUAUUCGGAAGAACACCAGUGGCGAAGGCGACUCACUGGACAUGUAUUGACGCUGAGGUACGAAAGCGUGGGGAGCAAACAGG